RNAcentral lists this ribosomal RNA (188 nucleotides) under uncultured bacterium. RNAcentral describes it as "partial 16S ribosomal RNA". It matches the Rfam family "Bacterial small subunit ribosomal RNA", at positions 338 to 524 of the family's 1533-position model. The record is from RNAcentral.
CCUACGGGAGGCAGCAGUAGGGAAUAUUGGUCAAUGGGUGCAAGCCUGAACCAGCCAUGCCGCGUGCAGGAAGACGGCCUUCUGGGUUGUAAACUGCUUUUGCCAGGGGAUAAAAGGCCCAUGCGUGGGACAUUGAAGGUACCUGGUGAAUAAGCCACGGCUAACUACGUGCCAGCAGCCGCGGUAAU